Molecule: ribosomal RNA, 434 nt
Filed under: uncultured bacterium
Lineage: Bacteria
Description: partial 16S ribosomal RNA
Rfam family: Bacterial small subunit ribosomal RNA
Source: RNAcentral
ACGGAAGGCAGCAGUGGGGAAUAUUGCACAAUGGGGGAAACCCUGAUGCAGCGACGCCGCGUGAAGGAUGACGUCUUUCGGUAUGUAAACUUCUAUCAGCAAGGAAGCUGAUGACGGUACUUGACUAAGAAGCCCCGGCCAACUACGUGCCAGCAGCCGCGGUAAUACGUAGGGGGCAAGCGUUAUCCGGAUUUACUGGGUGUAAAGGGAGCGCAGGCGGCCAUGCAAGUCGGAAGUGAAAGCCCGGGGCUCAACCCGGGGACUGCUUUUGAAACUGUAGGGCUAGAUUGCCGGAGAGGUAAGCGGAAUUCCUAGUGUAGCGGUGAAAAGCGUAGAUAUUAGAAGGAACACCAGUGGCGAAGGCGGCUUACUGGACGGUGAAUGACGCUCAGGCUCGAAAGCGUGGGGAGCAAACAGGAUUAGAUACCCUGGUA